GAAUGCUGACAUAAGUAACGAUAAAGCGGGUGAAAAGCCCGCUCGCCGGAAGACCAAGGGUUCCUGUCCAACGUUAAUCGGGGCAGGGUGAGUCGACCCCUAAGGCGAGGCCGAAAGGCGUAGUCGAUGGGAAACGGGUUAAUAUUCCCGUACUUGGUGUUACUGCGAAGGGGGGACGGAGAAGGCUAUGUUGGCCGGGCGACGGUUGUCCCGGUUUAAGCGUGUAGGUGUGUGUUCCAGGU
RNAcentral lists this ribosomal RNA (242 nucleotides) under Salmonella enterica. RNAcentral's name for it is "partial 23S ribosomal RNA". It matches the Rfam family "Bacterial large subunit ribosomal RNA", at positions 1292 to 1537 of the family's 2925-position model. The record is from RNAcentral. Lineage: Bacteria; Pseudomonadati; Pseudomonadota; Gammaproteobacteria; Enterobacterales; Enterobacteriaceae. RNAcentral also lists the same sequence under 1 other name.